RNAcentral lists this ribosomal RNA (611 nucleotides) under uncultured bacterium. Its description in RNAcentral is "bacterial SSU rRNA". It matches the Rfam family "Bacterial small subunit ribosomal RNA", at positions 260 to 885 of the family's 1533-position model. The record is from RNAcentral.
ACGGCUCACCAAGGCUACGACGGGUAGCUGGUCUGAGAGGAUGUCCAGCCACACUGGGACUGAGACACGGCCCAGACUCCUACGGGAGGCAGCAGUUAGGAAUCUUGCGCAAUGGGCGAAAGCCUGACGCAGCGACGCCGCGUGCGGGAUGAAUGCCUUCGGGUUGUAAACCGCUUUCAGCAGGGACGAAAUUGACGGUACCUGCAGAAGAAGCCCCGGCCAACUACGUGCCAGCAGCCGCGGUAAUACGUAGGGGGCGAGCGUUGUCCGGAUUUAUUGGGCGUAAAGAGCUCGUAGGUGGUUUGGUAAGUCGGAUGUGAAAUCUCCAGGCUCAACCUGGAGGGGUCAUUCGAGACUGCUAUGACUAGAGUUCGGUAGAGGAGUACGGAAUUCCUGGUGGAGCGGUGAAAUGCGCAGAUAUCAGGAGGAACACCCGUAGCGAAGGCGGUACUCUGGGCCGACACUGACACCGAGGAGCAAAAGCGUGGGGAGCGAACAGGAUUAGAUACCCUGGUAGUCCACGCCGUAAACGUUGGGCACUAGGUGUGGGGUUCUAUCGACGGAUUCCGUGCCGUAGCUAACGCAUUAAGUGCCCCGCCUGGGGAGUACGG